UUCAGAUCAUCUCAGGUGUGCUAAGGAAACUCAUCUCUUCUCAUCGUUUUCAUCUUCUACCAGACUUUUCUACCAAAUGGCUGAAUCUGACACAGGCAGCAGUGAUGGAGAAUUUGCUGAACGUUUGGUAACUUCACUGAUAGCUAUCAGUUUUGUGACUCCAAAAGAAAUUCUGAACAAGCUCCAAGGACUUGUUACAAAUAUCCACUGGAGCCGAGAGGAUGUGACUGAAUUAUUCAAAGCUCUUCUGGAGCGGUUUGAGUCAACAACAUAUGAUGGAUCACAUCUCUUCUCAUGGAUGUUGAACAUGUUGCAGUGUAUACAGAUUAAUUACAUCACUCCAGGUUGGAAAAGUCUAACAGGAAGGACUCUUAUCCAGCUGGUCCGAGACAAGACUGUAACAGAUAAAGACAUUAAGAAAAACCUAGCCAAUGACCCGGAAAAGUCCCUGGACCAAAUCCUUGAAGAAAUCCGCCAACAACGGUUAAACCACAUUGACGACAAUGUUUUGAAAGACGUGAGAGACAUUGUGUCAGCAGUUGUUGAGGAUCUGAAGUCACACAGUGAUGGAUCACAGAGGAAAGGCUUGAAAACAGUCCUGCUAAAGCUUUGUCGGGCAGUGGAAAAGAGUCAGAAGUUCAGACCACGACUGACACAGAUGGUCAGCUGGUGUAUAAUGGCUCUGUCCAAAACAGGGCAGUUAAUUCAGGUUGGUACUGGAGAGGGAAAGUCCUGCAUAAUUGCAAUGUUUGCAGCUUUUCGAGCUUUGAGAGGAGAAGAAGUAGACAUCUUUACUUGUUCACCAGUUCUUGCAGAAAGAGAUUUUGAAGAAUGGAAAGACUUUUAUGAAAUGUUGAAAAUCAGUGUCAACUGCAACACCAACAAACAAGUCGAUCAGUUAAAAACGUGCUAUGAGUGUAAGGUGGUAUAUGGCACUACUCGUGAAUUUGCAGGACACUGGCUACACCAGAUCUUUGAAAGAAUGGUCACAUUUGGGGAAAGGAAAUGCCAGUGUGCAAUAGUGGAUGAAGUAGAUUCCUUGAUGUUAGAUAAAGGUAAUGACUUGGUCUAUAUAGCCAGCGAUAUGCCUGCUUUGCAACAUCUCGAUCCACUCCUGGCAUUGAUAUGGACAACUGCUAAAAAAUACAGCAAUGGCUUUCCUCAGUUAAUUUAUUCUGAUACAGAGAGUAAGGUAAGGGCUGCAGAAGUAGAAAUAAAACAAGCUCUGCAUUUUACACCGUGUGAGCUCAACAAAGAUCGAAUGGCGUGUUAUGUCCCAGGUUUCCUUUCAGAUCUGGUCAGCUCCAAACUAAAGGUUUGGAUUGAAAAUGCGUUCAAAGCACAAACCAUGACAAAAGAUCGUGAAUAUACCCUCGAGAUUCAUGGGAUAGUGCCUGUUGACUACAACUCCACAGGUGUUGUUGAAAACUUUACGGUAAUGUCGGAUGGACUACAGCAGUUUCUUGAGAUGAAACAUCAGUACAAGCUGAGUGACAUGACGGCCGUCACAAACUAUAUGUCCAAUGUGGAACUGUUUCUGAAGUACAAGGAUCAGAUCUUUGGGAUUUCUGGGACUCUUGGCCAACAAGCAGAGACUGACACACUGGAGAAAAUCUAUGAAGGUGUCAAGACCUGUCAGAUACCUCCAUUCAAACGCAGAAAGCUGUUUGAGGUUGAAGGAGUGAUUGCAUGUGAAGAACAAGAAUGGGUUCAGGAAAUCUGCAACGUUGUAUUGGCAGAAACAAGCCUUACUCCAUUUAGGGCUCAAAGAGCUGUGUUGGUCAUUUGUGAGACCAUCCAACAAGCAAAGGACCUUCACCUUGCUUUAGAAAAAAAAGUCCCAGACAAAAAGCUUUACAUAAGCAACAACAUGAACAAUUCUGCAAUCUUUGAAAGUAAGCUUGAAGCAGGAGAGGUCAUUGUAGCAACAAAUCUUGCUGGAAGAGGGAUGGACCUUAAGGUCUCUGACCAGGUAAAGAGAGCUGGAGGUUUGUUCGUUCUGCAGACCUUUCUGCCCAAGAAUGCUCGAGUGGAGGCACAGGCAUUUGGCCGAACUGCAAGACAAGGAUCUCCUGGGUCUGCUCAGCUCAUUAUCUGCUCAGACCACCUACCAGAACCACUCAAAUUGUUGGCUUUGAUGGGGAAACUUCAAACUUUAUUGGAGAGCUCAAAUUCACAGAUAAAGAUAGUUAAAGAGUUCAGAGAUGAUGUAGUGGCUCAAGAACUAGCCAGCUACUUGGAGUGUGAAAUCCCAAAAAUAAAGAAGAAGGAAGGGCUCUUCAGAAGGUAUCUGGAGACAUUAGAUGAAUUGUACCAGAGCAAUAACAACAAGCCAGCAGCUUCAGGUUUGUCUGCACUCAAUGAAUUCUGGGGUAUUUGGCUUCUCACAAACUUCAAUGAAAACGAAUCUACCUCGAACUUAGAAAACAAACUUAGAGAAGACUUGGAAACAGCCAGGCAAAAACUCGACCGGAGAGAAUCUCCUUCCUCAAACCUGCAUCACUACACUGCAUUUGGCAACGAAUUGCGCAAACAGGGGCAAAUAGCAGAGAGCAUUAUGAUGUACACUAAGGCCAUACAGGAGGACCACUGUUGGGCAGCAAUUGCAUAUUACAACCGUGCUUUUGCAUCUUUAUCCCAGCAAGAGAUGCAACAUGAUCCAAACUGCAUCGAUCAAGCUCUAGAAGAUUUGCAAAAUGCACUCAAGUCUGUUGAGCUCCACUGCGAACAAAUUAAGUUAACUUAUGUGUGCUCCAAAGAUAUCAUGGAACUCUGCAGGGAUUCAGUCAACCGAUUUGACUCUCACAUGUCAACCAGACACUCAUUAUUGCUGUAUUUCAAAAGAAACAUUGAUGAGGCCAUAAAAAACCUGGACAGCGCAAAACGGUUUGGCAGAAAGGUGAAAUCGGAAGCAAGUCUAGUAUACUUUAUGGUUCCAGCAGUCCAUCUUCUGCCCUGGUUAGUGCGUUCUGCAGAAUCACUGCCUCUGAUCCGCUCCGGAGACCCUCUGAAGUUGCGCCAGCUAAUUAGCCAUCACGACUUUGACAUUGGCAUUGAACUCACACGUCUUGAAAAUCUGGGCCUGACUCAAGUCUAUACCUUGGACACAGAGUUCUCUCUGCGUGGCUUUUUCUCAAAGCUAUGUAGACCAUAAGUCAAACGUCUACAGAUGUCAGGUGUUCGGGGUUUGAGCAAAGCUAUCAAGAAAGCAACAAACCAGACAGUGGUGUUGAAAGGAAAUUUUUCGACCACAACAUUUAAAGAAGUUAGAAACACAGCAUAUAUUCAUCAGUCUGGGGGUUUUUAAGUUCAUGUUGUUGCUUUAAAGUUCUUUCUUUACUUCCCCUUUUGGUUUAGAAAACCAUGUGAUCUGAAAACCAUCAAAAACAACGCAGUCAGAUUAAAAGUUUUAGGUGUUAAUACUUUUUUGAUAUUUGAAUCAGUGCAGGUUCCCUGUUCAUUAUUAAUGUACAUAAAAUAUGGUUUAUUUUUCUAUAUCUACAUUUCUUGUCAGUUCAAACAACUGCUUAUCAUGGUUUUUAAUUCAGCUUUCAUUAUCAUUUUUAUCUUGUGAAUUUGAAAGGUUUUUAUUUUAUCUUUUUUAAUAUUCAUAUUUGUAUUUUAUCUUUACAAAAUGUAUACUUGAUCCUUUGUCUAUGAAAAUGAAAAAUACAUGUUGUGAAGCUGAUACUACACAGAAACAAUUCUUUAGACACCUAAAAACAGUAACAUGUAUUUAUGUCAUUAGUAUACUUUUAUGGUUCACUAAAGUAACUCGGUUUAUAUUCAAGGUUUAUAUUUUUGGAAGUCUAUGACACUUCUAAACAUUACAAUCUAAAUUCAUUUUGAUUUGAAACUUGUUGGUGAUUGACUCAUCAUUUGAAAUACUCAUUACUACACUUUAUUUACAUAUGUAGGCCAAUCAUAGUCACAUUGUAAUAAGCAACUUAAAUGAUUUAUACAUGUCUUUGUGUGUUAAAGAAGCUGCUCAUAGCAACAUUGCAGGGUAUGCUUUGAACAUGGAAUAAAUAUAAUCAUUUCAAUUCUG
Eleginops maclovinus (Patagonian blennie) is the source of this 4048-nucleotide long non-coding RNA. RefSeq lists it as uncharacterized. The record is from RefSeq and is a predicted model, not a curated record. The transcript is spliced from 2 exons. NCBI's taxonomy places the organism in Eukaryota, Metazoa, Chordata, Actinopteri, Perciformes, Eleginopidae.